UAGGGAAUCUUCCACAAUGGACGCAAGUCUGAUGGAGCAACGCCGCGUGAGUGAAGAAGGUUUUCGGACCGUAAAGCUCUGUUGUUGGUGAAGAAGGAUAGAGGUAGUAACUGGCCUUUAUUUGACGGUAAUCAACCAGAAAGUCACGGCUAACUACGUGCCAGCAGCCGCGGUAAAUACGUAGGUGGCAAGCGUUGUCCGGAUUUAUUGGGCGUAAAGCGAGCGCAGGCGGAAGAAUAAGUCUGAUGUGAAAGCCCUCGGCUUAACCG
This 269-nucleotide ribosomal RNA is filed under the name uncultured bacterium. Its description in RNAcentral is "partial 16S ribosomal RNA". It matches the Rfam family "Bacterial small subunit ribosomal RNA", at positions 355 to 615 of the family's 1533-position model. The record is from RNAcentral.